This 253-nucleotide ribosomal RNA is filed under the name uncultured bacterium. RNAcentral's name for it is "partial 16S ribosomal RNA". It matches the Rfam family "Bacterial small subunit ribosomal RNA", at positions 524 to 776 of the family's 1533-position model. The record is from RNAcentral.
UACAGAGGGGGCAAGCGUUGUUCGGAAUUACUGGGCGUAAAGGGCGCGUAGGCGGCCUUCUAAGUCGAACGUGAAAUCCCCGGGCUCAACCCGGGAACUGCGUCCGAUACUGGAAGGCUUGAAUCCGGGAGAGGGAUGCGGAAUUCCAGGUGUAGCAGUGAAAUGCGUAGAUAUCGAGAGGAACACCAGUGGCGAAGGCGAGUCUCUGGACAAUUCCUGACGCUGAGGCACGAAAGCUAGGGGAGCAAACAGG